RNAcentral lists this ribosomal RNA (300 nucleotides) under Skeletonema grethae. RNAcentral describes it as "partial Bacterial small subunit ribosomal RNA". It matches the Rfam family "Bacterial small subunit ribosomal RNA", at positions 42 to 356 of the family's 1533-position model. Lineage: Eukaryota; Bacillariophyta; Thalassiosirophyceae; Thalassiosirales; Thalassiosiraceae. The record is from RNAcentral.
GUAUGCCUAACACAUGCAAGUCGAACGAGGUAGCAAUACCUAGUGGCGGACGGGUGAGGAAUACGUAGGGAUCUGCCUUUAAGUGGGGGAUAACCCGGGGAAACCCGGAUUAAUACCGCAUGAUCUCGCAAGAGCAAAGUGGGGGAUCGCAAGACCUCACGCUUUUAGAGGAACCUACGUCGGAUUAGCUUGUUGGUGAGGUAAUGGCUCACCAAGGCGACGAUCCGUAACUGGUCUGAGAGGAUGAUCAGUCACACCGGAACUGAGACACGGUCCGGACUCCUACGGGAGGCAGCAGUG